GACGAACGCUGGCGGCGUGCUUAACACAUGCAAGUCGAACGGAAAGGCCCUGCCUUUGUGGGGUGCUCGACUGGCGAACGGGUGAGCAACACGUGAGUAACCUGCCCUUGACUUUGGGAUAACUUAAGGAAACUGGGGCUAUUCCCGCAUAGGAGCUACUGCUGCAUGGUGGGGGUUGGAAAGUUUAGGCGGUUGGGGAUGGACUCGCGGCUUAUCGGCUUGAUGGUGGGGUAGUGGGUGACCAUGGUCUUGACGGGUGGCCGGCCUGGGAGGAGGACCUGCCACGUUGGGCCGGAGAUGCGGCCCAGACUCCAACGGGACGGAGCGGUGGAGAGUGUUGUACAGUGGGCGGAAGCCUAGUGCGACAACGCCGCGUGGGGGAUGACGUGCUGCGGGUAGUGUACCGCUUUCGCCUGUGACGAAGCGUUAGUGACGGUAAUGGGUGAAGAAGCACCGGCUAACUACGUG
This 468-nucleotide ribosomal RNA is filed under the name uncultured bacterium. Its description in RNAcentral is "partial 16S ribosomal RNA". It matches the Rfam family "Bacterial small subunit ribosomal RNA", at positions 28 to 507 of the family's 1533-position model. The record is from RNAcentral.